UGGGGAAUAUUGGACAAUGGGCGCAAGCCUGAUCCAGCCAUGCCGCGUGGGUGAAGAAGGCCUUCGGGUUGUAAAGCCCUUUUGUUGGGAAAGAAAUCCUGUCGGCUAAUACCCGGCGGGGAUGACGGUACCCAAAGAAUAAGCACCGGCUAACUUCGUGCCAGCAGCCGCGGUAAUACGAAGGGUGCAAGCGUUACUCGGAAUUACUGGGCGUAAAGCGUGCGUAGGCGGUUCGUUAAGUCUGUCGUGAAAGCCCUGGGCUCAACCUGGGAAUUGCGAUGGAUACUGGCGAGCUAGAGUACGGUAGAGGAUGGUGGAAUUCCCGGUGUAGCGGUGAAAUGCGUAGAGAUCGGGAGGAACACCCGUGGCGAAGGCGGCCAUCUGGACCAGUACUGACGCUGAGGCACGAAAGCGUGGGGAGCAAACAG
Molecule: ribosomal RNA, 428 nt
Filed under: uncultured bacterium
Lineage: Bacteria
Description: bacterial SSU rRNA
Rfam family: Bacterial small subunit ribosomal RNA
Source: RNAcentral